UCGCGAAGAAACUUACCUACCCUUUAACAUGUAUGGAAUCCUGCUGAGAGGUGGGAGUGCCCGAAAGGGAGCCAUAACACAGGUGCUGCAUGGCUGUCGUCAGCUCGUGUCGUGAGAUGUUGGGUUAAGUCCCGCAACGAGCGCAACCCUUGUCUCUAGUUGCUACGCAAGAGCACUCCAGGGAGACUGCCGGUGACAAACCGGAGGAAGGUGGGGAUGACGUCAAGUCCUCAUGGCCCUUAUGGGUAGGGCUUCACACGUCAUACAAUGGUCGGAACAGAGGGUUGCCAAGCCGCGAGGUGGAGCCAAUCCCAGAAAACCGAUCGUAGUCCGGAUCGCAGUCUGCAACUCGACUGCGUGAAGCUGGAAUCGCUAGUAAUCGCGGAUCAGCAUGCCGCGGGAAUAC
RNAcentral lists this ribosomal RNA (406 nucleotides) under Paraburkholderia unamae. RNAcentral's name for it is "bacterial SSU rRNA". It matches the Rfam family "Bacterial small subunit ribosomal RNA", at positions 959 to 1369 of the family's 1533-position model. The record is from RNAcentral. Lineage: Bacteria; Pseudomonadati; Pseudomonadota; Betaproteobacteria; Burkholderiales; Burkholderiaceae.